AACCUAUUAGCCCAAUUGGCAAAACAUUGAGUAAGACACAACGAUGUAUGUAGGUUCGAAUCCUACAUAGGUUU
Molecule: non-coding RNA, 74 nt
Organism: Beta vulgaris subsp. vulgaris (sugar beet)
Lineage: Eukaryota; Viridiplantae; Streptophyta; Magnoliopsida; Caryophyllales; Amaranthaceae
Source: Rfam